This is a non-coding RNA of Rattus norvegicus (Norway rat), 68 nucleotides long. NCBI's taxonomy places the organism in Eukaryota, Metazoa, Chordata, Mammalia, Rodentia, Muridae. The record is from Rfam.
GGGGAUUUAGCUCAGUGGUAGAGCGCUUGCCUAGCAAGCACAAGGUCCUGGGUUCGGUCCCCAGCUCA